This 722-nucleotide long non-coding RNA is filed under the name Elaeis guineensis (African oil palm). Its description in RNAcentral is "long non-coding RNA (EGUI_LNC022364)". The record is from RNAcentral. Lineage: Eukaryota; Viridiplantae; Streptophyta; Magnoliopsida; Arecales; Arecaceae.
UCAAAAUAGUGUUACACUAGGAAUAUCGAGUUCAAAUCAACCUUAGAACCAUCUAUGGCCGUCCAAUCAUGACCAACUCACACCAGAGCCAUCCAAUCAUGUACUACAACUUCAGAUCAAGCUUGAUCAUAUCCGAAUUGAGUUCCAGCCAUCCGAUCGUGACUGCAUGCGAUCUGUUUCGUCAGAUCAUGCACAAACACCCCUGGAUUGCGCAUAAACUGCAUGAUCUGUCCACGCGGCCUCCAUGGACAACCCAACACCCUGUGGUCCAUGGUGGACCAUGAUAGGGCGUUAGGCUUGGGCGCCUGUUGGGCCUGCCGGGCCCGACUGCACCGCCGCCGGCCUCCGCCACCUUAGGGACCAUGCCACCUGCUCUGAACUUUCUUUCGCACGUAUCUUCACCGUCUGAAUUUUGUUUGGGCUAUUCUUGAGCUCGUUGGACUCCGUUCGUCAUUCUGGACCUUGUUGUGGAUUCAGUGUGGAUCGCAUCUCGAGGUAUCAAAUCUCAACAGUAAAUUGAGCAAACCUAUGAUCUAAUCCAAUCUCGACCUAACUCGAUGUAUGCUCAUAUGUUUUCUUAAGAGCUUUGUGUUGGAUAGAUAUUUUGAAAAUUAUGUCUUGUAAUUUUUGAAUUGAUCCGAGUUAGUCCCAAUUCGACCCAACUAGAAAGCCAUAAUCAUGCAAAACAAGUCCCUCCUUUCCUCUUAAGCAUCUUUCUCAAU